Molecule: small nucleolar RNA, 318 nt
Filed under: Drepanopeziza brunnea f. sp. 'multigermtubi' MB_m1
Lineage: Eukaryota; Fungi; Ascomycota; Leotiomycetes; Helotiales; Drepanopezizaceae
Description: Marssonina brunnea f. sp. 'multigermtubi' MB_m1 Fungal small nucleolar RNA U3
Rfam family: Fungal small nucleolar RNA U3
About the family: Small nucleolar RNAs (snoRNAs) are involved in the processing and modification of rRNA in the nucleolus. There are two main classes of snoRNAs: the box C/D class, and the box H/ACA class.
Source: Rfam by way of RNAcentral
UUCGACAAUACUUCAUAGAAUCAUUUCUAGUAAGAAAAUUCCCCUCACCCUCUACUGGUCCUACCUCUUGCUGACCAUACUCCCUCUUCUACAGAAGUAAACGUCCUUCUCUGAGCUUCUCAAAAAAGCCACAGACCCGCUCUCGAGGAUGAGACUUUCCCCGGUGCCUAAGAGUGAGGCCUUUGCUUUCGCACUGUCCGCAAGGAUGGCGGUGUCCGCGCAAGCGUUCACUGUAUAGAGAGCGGCGAUGAUCUCGACCCUAAUGACUUGCGCUUCGGCCAUGCCAUUGGGGUAGGUGCUGGUGGAUGUCUGAGAGAC